UCCCUGGGGCGACGUACAACGGAGCUCCCACAGUUCUCUUCGCCUCCGCUCGGUCCACCCCCAAACUCCGGUAUUAACCCCUUCACGUCCAUGUUCAUUGGCCCAUCGACGCCCCCUGGCACGCAGAUUUCUUCGUGAGAUCCCGGACACCUAAUUGGUAAAAUACAUAAAAGACCGGGCCUGUCCCUUAGUUAUAGUUAUCGAAGAUUUUCUCAACUUGCUUCUAAGACCUUCUCGCUGAUAAAUAAUAAACGGCAAUCAUGGUUAACGUUUGAGCGUCUGUGGACCAGCUAAGAAAAUUCAGGCCAGGAGCUUCCCUGGUGACGCAGUGGUUAAGAAUCCACCUGCCAAUGCAGGGGACACGGUUUCGAGCCCUGGUCCGGGAAGAUCCCACAUGCUGUGGAGUAACUAAGCCCGUGUGCCACAACUACUGAGCCUGCGUGCCGCACCUACUGAGCCUGUGUGCCACAAUUACUGAAGCCCGUGCACCUAGAGCCCAUGCUCCACAACAAGAGAAGCCACUGCAAUGAGAAGCCUGUGCACUGCAAUGAAGAGUAGCCCCCACUCGCUGCAGCUAAAGAAAGCCCACGUGCAGCAACAAGGACUCAACACAGCCAAAAAUAAAUAAAUUAAUAAAUUAAUUUUUA
Balaenoptera acutorostrata (minke whale) is the source of this 647-nucleotide long non-coding RNA. RefSeq lists it as uncharacterized. Lineage: Eukaryota; Metazoa; Chordata; Mammalia; Artiodactyla; Balaenopteridae. The record is from RefSeq and is a predicted model, not a curated record. The transcript is spliced from 3 exons.